CCUACGGGGGGCAGCAGUCGAGAAUAUUGGACAAUGGACGCAAGUCUGACCCAGCGACGCCGCGUGGAGGAAGGAGGCUUUCGGGUUUUAAACUCCUUUUCAGGGGGGAGCGCAGAAGACGGUACCCCUUGAAUAAGCCACGGCUAACUACGUGCAAGCAGCCGCGGUCAUACGUAGGUGGCAAGCGUUGUCCGGAUGUACUGGGUGUAAGGGGCGUGCAGCCGGAUAGGCAAGUCAGAUGUGAAAUCAACGGGCUCAACCCGUGAACUGCAUAUGAAACUGGUUCCCUUGAGUGUCGGAGGGGGAAUCGGAAUUCUCAGUGUAGCGGUGAAAUGCGUAGAUAUCAGGAAGAACACUAGUGGCGAAGGCGGAUUACUGGACGAUAACUGACGGUGAGGCGCGAAAGCGUGGGGAGCAAACAGGAUUAGAUACCCUAGUAGUC
This 442-nucleotide ribosomal RNA is filed under the name uncultured bacterium. RNAcentral's name for it is "partial 16S ribosomal RNA". It matches the Rfam family "Bacterial small subunit ribosomal RNA", at positions 338 to 795 of the family's 1533-position model. The record is from RNAcentral.